Molecule: ribosomal RNA, 444 nt
Filed under: Triticum aestivum (bread wheat)
Lineage: Eukaryota; Viridiplantae; Streptophyta; Magnoliopsida; Poales; Poaceae
Description: partial small subunit ribosomal RNA
Source: RNAcentral
AUGAGAACAUACCACUUGGCAUCACAACUUGGUUUAAUCUGGGAGGUAGAUUCUGGAUCAGAUAUUAUGAAACUACUCUCAUCGGAACAUUCAUUUCUGAAGCAGAUGAUGAGGUUGAUGCAAGCUAGCAUGUCACAUGUGAAACACCUUGAAAGUGCUCUAGAAAGAAAGGAUGAUGAAUUAUUGAUAAAAGAGGAUAUCAUCAAGGCAUGGAUAUACUGUCAUGAGCAGAGGAUGAGACUCAUGUAUGGAAGGAGCAUUGGGCCGCCACUGGUUCUACCAUCAGGGCUUCGUUCACUUCAACUUUCUUCAUGUAGUAUUACAGAUGGAGCUUUAGCUGUUUGCCUUGAUGGUCUAGCUUCACUGCAAUGUUUGUUCUUGUACGAGAUUAUGACUUUAACUACACUUCCUUCAGAAGAGGUCUUCCAACAUUUGACGAAAUAG